CUGCGAUAUUGGUAGGGCCUCCCCCCUCCCCGUGGGCAGUGGUUGGGCCGAGCCUGAGCCCCGCCCCGGCGGGUGGUGCGCAAGAACUUUUCCCCGGGUAGUGCCCGGUGGACGUCCGCGCCCACCUCAGGACCUCCUCCCUUCCCGCCCGCGGGCUACACUGGGGCGGGAGGUCCCGCUCCACUUUGGGCCUGGUGCCACCUGUGCAACGUCCCCAGUCGGCCCAGGGCGAUGUGUGCACUCAGGCUACCCCGUGUCAAACGUCCACGAAACGGACCGGACUCACAAGAGUCUCAAAACACGGUGGUGUGACAUGGAGACCCCGACCCAUCUUUGCCUUCUGAGGAGAGCAGACCUGAAAUGGCUAUGAAGACUCUGAAGAAAGCACAAAAGACUGCUUCUGGGAGAUGUGGAGAGAAGGCAAUCAAGGACUGGAGCCUUUUAGAGAGACAGACAGCGAGAGAGGGAACACAAGCAGGGGGAAUGGGAG
Ailuropoda melanoleuca (giant panda) is the source of this 490-nucleotide long non-coding RNA. RefSeq lists it as uncharacterized. The record is from RefSeq and is a predicted model, not a curated record. The transcript is spliced from 3 exons. Lineage: Eukaryota; Metazoa; Chordata; Mammalia; Carnivora; Ursidae.